RNAcentral lists this long non-coding RNA (1025 nucleotides) under Nicotiana tabacum (common tobacco). RNAcentral's name for it is "long non-coding RNA (NTAB_LNC013249)". The record is from RNAcentral. Lineage: Eukaryota; Viridiplantae; Streptophyta; Magnoliopsida; Solanales; Solanaceae.
GGUUGUUGCCAUUGUUCGGAUGGGAACCACCGAUGAUGGAGGAGAUGGCGGCGGCAAGGGCGGCAGUAAAGUUGGGGUCGGCAGUGAUGGCGGCCGUGGCGGCGGAAAGUGUAUCAGAAAAUGAGGGGUGGUGAAUAUUGUCUUGAGAGACUUGUAAACCUGAAAAUCUUGAUUGGUUAUACAAAGCCUGGCCCAAAACCUGAGGCAUUUGUGGAGCUGACAUUGAACCAACAAAAUUCGGAUGAUUAAGACCAGCUGGUAAAGGAACUUGGAAUUGUGUAGCUGGAUUUCUUUGAUGAUAAUUAGACAUUGCAUUUGGAUUUUGAGUAAGGUCCAAUGUUACAGUAGGAAAUGGAGCUGAUGCUGAAAUAGUUGCCAUAUUUGAUGAACAUGGAAGAAUGGUCCUUGCUAGGAAAUUUGUAUUCAUUAAACCAUCAGCACUUGGCAUUGAACCAGACAGCAACAUGUUUGCUGCUGCUGAAGUGGUGGAUGCCAUAGCCAUGGCUGCUGGUGGUAGUGGGUGGUUAUGUGUACCUUCAUAUGUUGUUAUUAAGAUUGUUCUGUCCUCAGCACACCUUUGCACCUGAACAUUUAUGUCAAUAUUACACAUUAGACUUACUUCAAUUUUAUGGGUAAAGGUGAUCUGAUUGUGUAAAAAUGGUAUAUAUUACUUAAACUCGUAAAUUAAACAUAGAUGAAUGUACCUGUUUGCGCACUGGACAACCAACAGCCAUGGUGCAACGAUAAUAAGCUCGUGGACAUGGAUUACCUUUUGCCAUCUUCUGACCAUAUUUUCUCCACUGGCAACCAUCACUUAUCUACAAAAUUUUCAGACACAUGACUUAGUUUGAUGCAGAAAUAAUUAACAUGUUACUACAUAACAGUACAUAAAAACUAUGCUUAACAAGUUAUGUACCAUGGGAGCUUCUGAUCGGGCACGGACAGAAACACGAGCUUUCCUCAUGGUUGCUUCUGUUGUUUGUUCAACAGGUUUUGAGGAAUUCAUCAAUUUAGGAACCUUGUUG